UACGUAGGGUGCAAGCGUUAAUCGGAAUUACUGGGCAUAAAGCGUGCGCAGGCGGUGAUGUAAGACAGGUGUGAAAUCCCCGGGCUUAACCUGGGAACUGCAUUUGUGACUGCAUCGCUGGAGUGCGGCAGAGGGGGAUGGAAUUCCGCGUGUAGCAGUGAAAUGCGUAGAUAUGCGGAGGAACACCGAUGGCGAAGGCAAUCCCCUGGGCCUGCACUGACGCUCAUGCACGAAAGCGUGGGGAGCAAACAGG
RNAcentral lists this ribosomal RNA (253 nucleotides) under uncultured bacterium. Its description in RNAcentral is "partial 16S ribosomal RNA". It matches the Rfam family "Bacterial small subunit ribosomal RNA", at positions 524 to 776 of the family's 1533-position model. The record is from RNAcentral.